UACGGAGGGGGCUAGCGUUGUUCGGAAUUACUGGGCGUAAAGCGCGCGCAGGCGGACACGCGCAUCGGCGGUGAAAGGCCCCCGCUCAACGGGGGAGGGUCCGUCGAGAUGGCGUGUCUGGAGGCAGGGAGAGGCCAGUGGAAUUCCGGGUGUAGUGGUGAAAUGCGUAGAGAUCCGGAGGAACACCAGUGGCGAAGGCGGCUGGCUGGACCUGACCUGACGCUGAGGCGCGAAGGCGUGGGGAGCGAUCCGG
This 253-nucleotide ribosomal RNA is filed under the name uncultured bacterium. RNAcentral's name for it is "partial 16S ribosomal RNA". It matches the Rfam family "Bacterial small subunit ribosomal RNA", at positions 524 to 776 of the family's 1533-position model. The record is from RNAcentral.